AGCUAAACAAGUAUUAAAGGUCCCGCCUGCCCAGUGAAUCUUUUCAACGGCCGCGGUAUUCUAACCGUGCAAAGGUAGCGUAAUCACUUGUCUUCUAAAUAAAGACCUGUAUGAACGGCUAAAUGAGGAUAAACCUGUCUCUUAUAACCAACCAGUGAAACUGAUCUCCCAGUACAAAAGCUGGAAUCAACCCAUAAGACGAGAAGACCCUGCGGAGCUUAAAACAAACCACUAAUUAAUAUCAUCUUAACCCUAGUGAAAUGUUUUCAGUUGGGGCGACUUCGGAAUAAAACACAACUUCCGAGCACAGAACCACUAAUUCUAACCAAGGCCAACAAGCCAAAGUAUAAUAUGACCCGGCACAUGCCGAUCAACGAACCAAGUUACCCCAGGGAUAACAGCGCUAUCCUCUUCAAGAGUCCCUAUCAACAAGAGGGUUUACGACCUCGAUGUUGGAUCAGGACACCCAAAUGGUGCAGCCGCUAUUAAAGGUUCGUUUGUUCAACGAUU
RNAcentral lists this ribosomal RNA (510 nucleotides) under Heremites vittatus (Bridled mabuya). RNAcentral's name for it is "partial 16S ribosomal RNA". It matches the Rfam family "Bacterial large subunit ribosomal RNA", at positions 1824 to 2589 of the family's 2925-position model. The record is from RNAcentral. Lineage: Eukaryota; Metazoa; Chordata; Lepidosauria; Squamata; Scincidae.